GAUGAACGCUGGCGGCGUGCUUAACACAUGCAAGUCGAACGGGAAACCUUUUAAUGAAGCUUCGGCAGAUUUAGCUGGUUUCUAGUGGCGGACGGGUGAGUAACGCGUGGGUAACCUGCCUUAUACAGGGGGAUAACAGUCAGAAAUGACUGCUAAUACCGCAUAAGCGCACAGGACCGUAUGGUCCGGUGUGAAAAACUCCGGUGGUAUAAGAUGGACCCGCGUUGGAUUAGCUUGUUGGUGGGGUAACGGCUCACCAAGGCGACGAUCCAUAGCCGGCCUGAGAGGGUGAACGGCCACAUUGGGACUGAGACACGGCCCAGACUCCUACGGGAGGCAGCAGUGGGGAAUAUUGCACAAUGGGGGAAACCCUGAUGCAGCGACGCCGCGUGAAGGAAGAAGUAUCUCGGUAUGUAAACUUCUAUCAGCAGGGAAGAUAGUGACGGUACCUGACUAAGAAGCCCCGGCUAACUACGUG
This 478-nucleotide ribosomal RNA is filed under the name uncultured bacterium. Its description in RNAcentral is "partial 16S ribosomal RNA". It matches the Rfam family "Bacterial small subunit ribosomal RNA", at positions 28 to 507 of the family's 1533-position model. The record is from RNAcentral.